RNAcentral lists this ribosomal RNA (1337 nucleotides) under Salmonella enterica subsp. enterica serovar Typhimurium. RNAcentral's name for it is "partial 23S ribosomal RNA". It matches the Rfam family "Bacterial large subunit ribosomal RNA", at positions 711 to 1944 of the family's 2925-position model. The record is from RNAcentral. Lineage: Bacteria; Pseudomonadati; Pseudomonadota; Gammaproteobacteria; Enterobacterales; Enterobacteriaceae.
AGACCCGAAACCCGGUGAUCUAGCCAUGGGCAGGUUGAAGGUUGGGUAACACUAACUGGAGGACCGAACCGACUAAUGUUGAAAAAUUAGCGGAUGACCUGUGGCUGGGGGUGAAAGGCCAAUCAAACCGGGAGAUAGCUGGUUCUCCCCGAAAGCUAUUUAGGUAGCGCCUCGUGAAUUCAUCUCCGGGGGUAGAGCACUGUUUCGGCUAGGGGGCCAUCCCGGCUUACCAACCCGAUGCAAACUGCGAAUACCGGAGAAUGUUAUCACGGGAGACACACGGCGGGUGCUAACGUCCGUCGUGAAGAGGGAAACAACCCAGACCGCCAGCUAAGGUCCCAAAGUCAUGGUUAAGUGGGAAACGAUGUGGGAAGGCCCAGACAGCCAGGAUGUUGGCUUAGAAGCAGCCAUCAUUUAAAGAAAGCGUAAUAGCUCACUGGUCGAGUCGGCCUGCGCGGAAGAUGUAACGGGGCUAAACCAUGCACCGAAGCUGCGGCAGCGAACGUAUCACCCAAGACAACUUUACGGAGUUGACGAUUGACGGAGCGAAGCGACGUCAAAGCGUUCAUUAAAGUCGAGUUGGCUUAGGGAUACGUUCGUUGGGUAGGGGAGCGUUCUGUAAGCCUGUGAAGGUGUGUCGUGAGGCAUGCUGGAGGUAUCAGAAGUGCGAAUGCUGACAUAAGUAACGAUAAAGCGGGUGAAAAGCCCGCUCGCCGGAAGACCAAGGGUUCCUGUCCAACGUUAAUCGGGGCAGGGUGAGUCGACCCCUAAGGCGAGGCCGAAAGGCGUAGUCGAUGGGAAACGGGUUAAUAUUCCCGUACUUGGUGUUACUGCGAAGGGGGGACGGAGAAGGCUAUGUUGGCCGGGCGACGGUUGUCCCGGUUUAAGCGUGUAGGUGUGUGUUCCAGGUAAAUCCGGUUCACUUUAACACUGAGGCGUGACGACGAGGCACUACGGUGCUGAAGCAACAAAUGCCCUGCUUCCAGGAAAAGCCUCUAAGCAUCAGGUAACACGAAAUCGUACCCCAAACCGACACAGGUGGUCAGGUAGAGAAUACCAAGGCGCUUGAGAGAACUCGGGUGAAGGAACUAGGCAAAAUGGUGCCGUAACUUCGGGAGAAGGCACGCUGACACGUAGGUGAAGUGAUUUACUCAUGGAGCUGAAGUCAGUCGAAGAUACCAGCUGGCUGCAACUGUUUAUUAAAAACACAGCACUGUGCAAACACGAAAGUGGACGUAUACGGUGUGACGCCUGCCCGGUGCCGGAAGGUUAAUUGAUGGGGUCAGCGUAAGCGAAGCUCCUGAUCGAAGCCCCGGUAAACGGCGGCCGUAACUAUA